This is a long non-coding RNA of Bombus huntii, 392 nucleotides long. RefSeq lists it as uncharacterized. The record is from RefSeq and is a predicted model, not a curated record. The transcript is spliced from 3 exons. NCBI's taxonomy places the organism in Eukaryota, Metazoa, Arthropoda, Insecta, Hymenoptera, Apidae.
AAACGGUUAACGUAACUGCGCGUACGACCGUCGAAUGGCAAAGAUAUUCAAGCUGAGAAUCGUUUUCAGAUGUUACAAACAGCUGUGUUGACUUUCAAGGAGAAACCAUUCGACAUGAUCUUACGUUUGAGCCGGGACCUUCGGUUUGCAGUUUCUGCACCUGCUAUAAUUCGAGGCUGAAGUGGUGCCAGUCGAUCGUAUGCAACCCGCCCGUAGAUCUUCCUUGUUGUUACGCCGCCUAAAACAUCUGCACGCCAGCCCGCGCCAGCUCGCACCACCGGACAACAACCAGCCUGCGUAACGUCACUUCGACCCUCAAUAAACCUAAGGACCCACCAUAACUUUCACUUCCCUUCGGUUUUUAGAGAGGUCCUUGGGUUUAUUAGACGUAC